RNAcentral lists this long non-coding RNA (288 nucleotides) under Vigna radiata. Its description in RNAcentral is "long non-coding RNA (VRAD_LNC010518)". Lineage: Eukaryota; Viridiplantae; Streptophyta; Magnoliopsida; Fabales; Fabaceae. The record is from RNAcentral.
AUCAUCUUAUCAUUCUUAUACGUUGUAUCAAAUGAAUGUAAAAGUGUAUCGUAAUAUCACGCUUCAAAUUUAUAGGAUUUGUGAAUGGUUGUAACUACCCCUGCCAUGACCCAAGUGCCUGUGCUAAAAUGCCCUGUGAAGUUCCUAAUUGCAUAAAGCGAUGCCACAGCCAGUGCUGCAUUUGCCAGUGUCUUGGAAAUGAGAAACCUGAAAUAAAGAUGUAACAAUUCCACGCCUUUGUUGUGGAAUUUAUGAGUAAUAAGAAAAGUUCAAAUAAUAACAUCUUCA